GAAGAGAGAGUUAAAGAGCACGUGAAAUCGGUAAGGUGGAAACGGAUAGAGUUGACGUAUAUGGCUUGUAUUCAACUGUUGGAUUAUGCGUAACAAUGGGUUGUUUUUUGCGUUGACCGAUUUAAUAUACCGCUAUUUUCGGAUGGUGUUGUUAUGUUGGAUUGGUUUGACGCGCAGUCCAUUGGUGUUUACGUUUUUUAGCGGUGCAUUUACAAGUCAAUGUGCGCUGGGACAUGCGCGAUUUUCGGUCGUCGAAAGAGUUUUGGUGCAAGAGGUUACUUUUUUAGUAAUUGAAAAAUUACAAAAGUAAAACCGUGCCCCUCAUUGAGGCGAUUCGUCGUGCAUGUAGUACUAAAAUUUAUGGUCAUUUAUUAAAGGAUGGCAUUUUUCGAGAUGCGAACAUUUAUAUUUAAUUGUAUUUGUUGGUUAUACGAGUCGCAUGCGACGCGUAUAAUUUUUUUCUUUAUUAUAUUAAAUUUCUAUUUUUAUAGUAAAGAAAAAUAAAAUCGAUACGAUUAUUUAAAGGUUUCCCACAUUCCUUUAUCCCGGUGUAAAAGUCAAUCAUCUAUCCGACCCGUCUUGAAACACGGACCAAGGAGUUUAACGUAUACGCGAGUCAUUGGGUGUUAAAAACCUAAAGGCGUAAUGAAAGUAAAUGUAUUCUUUGUUUAAUACAAAUAUGCGAUCUCAUAAAUUUCGAUUUACGAGCGCAGCAUAGCCCCGUUUUUGUCGCAUGCGACGGAGCGGAGGAAGAGCGUAUGCGUUGAGACCCGAAAGAUGGUGAACUAUGCCUGAGCAGGACGAAGCCAGAGGAAACUCUGGUGGAAGUCCGAAUCGGUUCUGACGUGCAAAUCGAUCGUCUGACUUGGGUAUAGGGGCGAAAGACUAAUCGAACUAUC
This 899-nucleotide ribosomal RNA is filed under the name Fergusobia sp. 24. RNAcentral's name for it is "eukaryotic LSU rRNA". It matches the Rfam family "Eukaryotic large subunit ribosomal RNA", at positions 378 to 944 of the family's 3401-position model. The record is from RNAcentral. Lineage: Eukaryota; Metazoa; Nematoda; Chromadorea; Rhabditida; Neotylenchidae. RNAcentral also lists the same sequence under 1 other name.